AGGAAUAUUGGUCAAUGGGCGCAGGCCUGAACCAGCCAAGUAGCGUGAAGGAUGACUGCCCUAUGGGUUGUAAACUUCUUUUAUAAAGGAAUAAAGUCGGGUAUGUAUACCCGUUUGCAUGUACUUUAUGAAUAAGGAUCGGCUAACUCCGUGCCAGCAGCCGCGGUAAUACGGAGGAUCCGAGCGUUAUCCGGAUUUAUUGGGUUUAAAGGGAGCGUAGAUGGAUGUUUAAGUCAGUUGUGAAAGUUUGCGGCUCAACCGUAAAAUUGCAGUUGAUACUGGAUAUCUUGAGUGCAGUUGAGGCAGGCGGAAUUCGUGGUGUAGCGGUGAAAUGCUUAGAUAUCACGAAGAACUCUGAUUGCGAAGGCAGCCUGCUAAGCUGCAACUGACAUUGAGGCUCGAAAGUGUGGGUAUCAAACAGGAUUAGAUACCCUGGUAGUCCACACGGUAAACGAUGAAUACUCGCUGUUUGCGAUAUACUGCAAGCGGCCAAGCGAAAGCGUUAAGUAUUCCACCUGGGGAGUACGCCGGCAACGGUGAAACUCAAAGGAAUUGACGGGGGCCCGCACAAGCGGAGGAACAUGUGGUUUAAUUCGAUGAUACGCGAGGAACCUUACCCGGGCUUAAAUUGCAGAUGAAUUACGGUGAAAGCCGUAAGCCGCAAGGCAUCUGUGAAGGUGCUGCAUGGUUGUCGUCAGCUCGUGCCGUGAGGUGUCGGCUUAAGUGCCAUAACGAGCGCAACCCUUGUUGUCAGUUACUAACAGGUUCCGCUGAGGACUCUGACAAGACUGCCAUCGUAAGAUGUGAGGAAGGUGGGGAUGACGUCAAAUCAGCACGGCCCUUACGUCCGGGGCUACACACGUGUUACAAUGGGGGGUACAGAGGGCCGCUACCACGCGAGUGGAUGCCAAUCCCCAAAACCUCUCUCAGUUCGGACUGGAGUCUGCAACCCGACUCCACGAAGCUGGAUUCGCUAGUAAUCGCGCAUCAGCCACGGCGCGGUGAAUACGUUCCCG
This 1016-nucleotide ribosomal RNA is filed under the name uncultured bacterium. RNAcentral's name for it is "bacterial SSU rRNA". It matches the Rfam family "Bacterial small subunit ribosomal RNA", at positions 357 to 1376 of the family's 1533-position model. The record is from RNAcentral.